GAUGAACGCUGGCGGCGUGCCUAAUACAUGCAAGUCGAGCGAACAGACGAGGAGCUUGCUCCUCUGGCGUUAGCGGCGGACGGGUGAGUAACACGUGGAUAACCUACCUAUAAGACUGGGAUAACUUCGGGAAACCGGAGCUAAUACCGGAUAAUAUAUUGAACCGCAUGGUUCAAUAGUGAAAGACGGUUUUGCUGUCACUUAUAGAUGGAUCCGCGCCGCAUUAGCUAGUUGGUAAGGCAACGGCUUACCAAGGCGACGAUGCGUAGCCGACCUGAGAGGGUGAUCGGCCACACUGGAACUGAGACACGGUCCAGACUCCUACGGGAGGCAGCAGUAGGGAAUCUUCCGCAAUGGGCGAAAGCCUGACGGAGCAACGCCGCGUGAGUGAUGAAGGUCUUCGGAUCGUAAAACUCUGUUAUUAGGGAAGAACAAAUGUGUAAGUAACUAUGCACGUCUUGACGGUACCUAAUCAGAAAGCCACGGCUAACUACGUG
RNAcentral lists this ribosomal RNA (497 nucleotides) under uncultured bacterium. RNAcentral describes it as "partial 16S ribosomal RNA". It matches the Rfam family "Bacterial small subunit ribosomal RNA", at positions 28 to 507 of the family's 1533-position model. The record is from RNAcentral.